Molecule: ribosomal RNA, 1168 nt
Filed under: uncultured bacterium
Lineage: Bacteria
Description: bacterial SSU rRNA
Rfam family: Bacterial small subunit ribosomal RNA
Source: RNAcentral
ACCCUUGUCGCAUGGUGGGGGUUGGAAAGAUUUAUCGGUGAAGGAUGGACUCGCGGCCUAUCAGUUUGUUGGUGAGGUAAUGGCUCACCAAGACGAUGACGGGUAGCCGGCCUGAGAGGGCGACCGGCCACACUGGGACUGAGACACGGCCCAGACUCCUACGGGAGGCAGCAGUGGGGAAUAUUGCACAAUGGGCGAAAGCCUGAUGCAGCGACGCCGCGUGGGGGAUGACGGCCUUCGGGUUGUAAACCUCUUUCAGUAGGGAAGAAGCGAAAGUGACGGUACCUGCAGAAGAAGCGCCGGCUAACUACGUGCCAGCAGCCGCGGUAAUACGUAGGGCGCAAGCGUUGUCCGGAAUUAUUGGGCGUAAAGAGCUCGUAGGUGGCUUGUCGCGUCUGCCGUGAAAACCCGAGGCUCAACCUCGGGCGUGCGGUGGGUACGGGCAGGCUAGAGUGUGGUAGGGGAGACUGGAACUCCUGGUGUAGCGGUGAAAUGCGCAGAUAUCAGGAAGAACACCGAUGGCGAAGGCAGGUCUCUGGGCCAUUACUGACACUGAGGAGCGAAAGCAUGGGUAGCGAACAGGAUUAGAUACCCUGGUAGUCCAUGCCGUAAACGUUGGGCACUAGAUGUGGGGGACAUUCCACGUUUUCCGCGUCGUAGCUAACGCAUUAAGUGCCCCGCCUGGGGAGUACGGCCGCAAGGCUAAAACUCAAAGGAAUUGACGGGGGCCCGCACAAGCGGCGGAGCAUGCUGAUUAAUUCGAUGCAACGCGAAGAACCUUACCAAGGCUUGACAUGCACCGGACGGCCGCAGAGAUGUGGCUUUCUUCGGACUGGUGCACAGGUGGUGCAUGGUUGUCGUCAGCUCGUGUCGUGAGAUGUUGGGUUAAGUCCCGCAACGAGCGCAACCCUUGUUCUAUGUUGCCAGCACGUCAUGGUGGGGACUCAUAGGAGACUGCCGGGGUCAACUCGGAGGAAGGUGGGGACGACGUCAAAUCAUCAUGCCCCUUAUGUCUUGGGCUUCAAGCAUGCUACAAUGGUCGGUACAAUGGGUUGCGAAACUGUGAGGUGGAGCGAAUCCCAAAAAGCCGGCCUCAGUUCGGAUUGGGGUCUGCAACUCGACCCCAUGAAGUCGGAGUCGCUAGUAAUCGCAGAUCAGCAACGCGCGA